This 402-nucleotide unclassified non-coding RNA is filed under the name soil metagenome. RNAcentral's name for it is "partial contains 5.8S ribosomal RNA, internal transcribed spacer 2, and large subunit ribosomal RNA". The stretch from base 1 to 121 matches the Rfam family "5.8S ribosomal RNA", at positions 35 to 154 of the family's 154-position model. The record is from RNAcentral.
GAUGAAGAACGUAGCGAAAUGCGAUAAGAAAUGUGAAUUGCAGAAUUCAGUGAAUCAUCGAAUCUUUGAACGCACCUUGCGCCCUUUGGCUAUUCUGAAGGGCAUGCCUGUUUGAGUAUCGUGAACACCUCAACUCUCAUGGUCUGCCAUGAUGAGCUUGGACUUUGGGGGUCUUGCUGGCCUACUGUCAGCUCCUCUCAAAUGAAUCAGCUUACCAGUGUUUGGUGGCACCACAGGUGUGAUAACUAUCUACGCUUGUGGUUUUCUGCCAGGUAACCUCCAGUGAUGGAGGUUCGCUGGAGCUCACAAAUGUCUCUCCUCAGCGAGGACAGCUUUUUGAACGUUUGAUCUCAAAUCAGGUAGGACUACCCGCUGAACUUAAGCAUAUCAAUAAGCGGAGGA